AACGAACGCUGGCGGCAGGCCUAACACAUGCAAGUCGAGCGGACCCUUCGGGGUUAGCGGCGGACGGGUGAGUAACGCGUGGGAAUAUGCCCUUCUCUACGGAAUAGUCCUGGGAAACUGGGGGUAAUACCGUAUACGCCCUUUGGGGGAAAGAUUUAUCGGGGAAGGAUUAGCCCGCGUUGGAUUAGGUAGUUGGUGGGGUAAUGGCCUACCAAGGCGACGAUCCAUAGCUGGUUUGAGAGGAUGAUCAGCCACACUGGGACUGGGACACGGCCCAGACUCCUACGGGAGGCAGCAGUGGGGAAUCUUAGACAAUGGGGGCAACCCUGAUCGAGCCAUGCCGCGUGAGUGAUGAAGGCCUUAGGGUUGUAAAGCUCUUUCAGCUGGGAAGAUAAUGACGGUACCAGCAGAAGAAGCCCCGGCUAACUCCGUG
Molecule: ribosomal RNA, 433 nt
Filed under: uncultured bacterium
Lineage: Bacteria
Description: partial 16S ribosomal RNA
Rfam family: Bacterial small subunit ribosomal RNA
Source: RNAcentral